Non-coding RNA from Cherax quadricarinatus, 200 nucleotides. The record is from RefSeq and is a predicted model, not a curated record. Lineage: Eukaryota; Metazoa; Arthropoda; Malacostraca; Decapoda; Parastacidae.
UUUCCUUCUGGGGGCCUUUUGGUUAAAAACAAAGUGUAGUAUCGUUUUUUAACAGCUUAAUACCUGAUAUGAUCCCCAGGGGGGGUUUUUCCCGUAUUAAUCGUUUUUUUGAAUCAGGGAAAAAGUGCUGGGGGCUUGUUUCCACCCUUUGCCGGGAUGGGCCCGGGUAUUGCAGCCCCUCUGGGUUUGGGUCCACUCCC